Betta splendens (Siamese fighting fish) is the source of this 2505-nucleotide long non-coding RNA. RefSeq lists it as uncharacterized. Lineage: Eukaryota; Metazoa; Chordata; Actinopteri; Anabantiformes; Osphronemidae. The transcript has 4 exons. The record is from RefSeq and is a predicted model, not a curated record.
CUUCUCUCUCUCUCUCUCUCUCUCUCGUUCUCUCUUUCUGUCUCUCUCUCCCCCACUCUAUUCUCGUUCACAAUACAAGCCCCCCUCAUCCCCGCCAGACACACUGACAGACGGCUUUGGUAACAGCGUCAGCAGCGCCCUCCACCGGUUAUGAGGGGAACUGCGGCGGGGACCGUGAGAAACGACAGCAGACGUCUGCAGCAGCGUUGUGACUGGUCAGGACAUUAAAACACUACCGGGCUACAUUGGUUGACGGUCUGGGCUACUUAUUACAUUGCCCUGUCACAUAAUCUGACCUUUCACCUUUCAUUGCAGCACUGGAACAUACGGCAUUGUGUUUCUCAAUUUAAAAAAUGUAGUGUUCACAUAGAUGCCGAAUGUGUUUAAAACUGUCUAAAUUCACCGUGUAAACGGCUUCGACCUUGACUUUUACACAAACGUUUAUAAUCUGGUCAAACUAGCUCAGCUGUAAUCUGACAAGCCAAAGUUUACAAGCUGAUUAGCUAAUUAGCUGUUAGCCUGCAGACCGAGAUUAGCAGCUACCUUUCCUCCCGGCGGACGUGCGCUCGAUCUCUCCCUCAGCAAAUUAAAGCGUGACGGUGAGUCAAUUCCCAGCUCUGAUUUGAGGACAAAGACAAAGGCCGCAGCUCAAAACUACACCUUUACACUGGGCUUCAGGUGCCUUCUGGUGCGAGGUUUAAUUCCACACGUUCCACAUGUUUUAUUAUCUAAGACUGACUGGACCCGGGUUCACCUCCCGACCGGAGCGUUGAGUUCAGAGCUUCGUGCAUCGAGCCAUUUGCAGCUUAUCCUCCACUGCUCUAAUGACCUGACAUCUCUGCAGGGAUCAUUAAAGUUUCAUCUGACCUCAUCUAAAAACUGAAGCCCCCUUAAGCAAGGCACUUGUCUGCUCCAGUGGAGCAGCUCGGUUUCCAUCAGUAGGAAACGUAGCGUAUUGCAUGGGAAGUUGCUGUGUGUGUGUGUGUGUGUGUGUGUGUGUGUGUGUGUGUGUGUGUGUGUGUGUGUGUGUGUGUGUGUGUGUGUGUUUUAUGAUGAGAUAAAGCAGUGUUCUGAUAAUUUACAGUAUUGGUAGCUGUACGUCAGUGUGGUCAAGAAACAAACAAACAAAAAAAAAAAAAAAAAGAAACAUGAAAAGGUUCAUAUAUUUUUAUCGAUACUUGAUAAUUACUUUGGUUUAUAUUUUUAUACUAUAUAAACCAAAAUGUGAGGUGUGUGGAUGUAGAAAAGGGAAGAUUGGCCUUUUCACAGUCAGGUGUCUGAAUCCAGCAACAAACACUACAAAGACCACUGUAUACUCAGACCAGAGAAUAAUUUUGUUUUUCUUUAGGUCUUUAGGUUCCAGCUUUUUUCCCUGCGUGUCUCCAUUAGUCGCUGUCAUCUGUCAGAGACUGAAAAGCUAAUGUUAGUUCAACACUGCAGGAUAAAGCUGCACAUUUUGAUGCAAAGUGAUCCCUUUAAUAAUGAACAAUUAUAAGGUUACGCAAUUACACCAGUCACUUUAAUAAGUGCUGUCACUUUGGCUCAUUCGUGUGCACGUAAUGCUGAUUAUUGACGACCUGUAGAGAUGACACUGUUUCUCUCUUUCUUUCAACAAUUGUGUAUUUAUUAUCUUCUGUAUUAUCUGUCUUUUUUGUGCUGUUGCAACAUAUCAAUUUCUCAAUCACAGUACAGAUAAAGGUUUUCCAUUCAAUUCUAAAACAGUUCAGUCAUUUUUAAACUACAAAGGCUGGAUCAUUGGUAAAUGUAGGCAAAAGAAAUAAAGAAUUCACCAAAAUGUUAAUAACCAUGAUGCGUCUGGUGUUAUGGCCCAGUCCGUGUUUGUGUGUUUCUGCAUUUGUGCGUUUGUGUGUUUGUGUGUUUGUGUUUCUGCGUUUGCUUGUGCAUUUGUGUGUUUGUGCGUUUCUGCAUUUGUGUGUUUGUGUGUGCAGAGGUGUGCUGGGGGUGUGUGUUUGCAGGUCAGCUGGAGGCUCGGUGAUUGGUGGAGAAGGAGCCGAGGCUGGGCCCCGUUGGCUGCAUCGAAGAGGCGCCAGCAUCAACGGCCUGUCACUGUCAUUCUCCAGGGCGACUCUGAAGAGCAGAAAUAGACAAAGCGUUGUUAUUACAGAUUGUGUGUUUUGUGUAACAAUUACGAGUUGUGAUGAGGCAGGGGUGAGCUGCCUUUACUGUAUCUUUUCUAGUUAAAUGUCUUUUGUUUUUCUUUCAGUUGGGUUUCAAUAAUUGACAGCAGCCUUGUAAUGAGAUCCUCCCCUCACGCGGCUCUGAAGCUGCAGGACAUGUAGAAUUAUCUAAACUACUGCAACCUCUGAAACCAAAGCUAGAAUGACCUAAGUCUUACACAGCACCUUGGAAAGGUCUGCAGAGUGGUGCUGGGAAUGGAGUGGGCCGUCCGUGCUCCUGGACCCGGCCGGAACAUCUGGGUACUGAGUCCCUUACGAGGAGAGAGAGAGUGAAUGUGUCUGGGCAAUAAAUCAGACAGAAUCUUUC